Trichonephila clavata is the source of this 72-nucleotide non-coding RNA. The record is from the annotation of a GenBank genome assembly. Lineage: Eukaryota; Metazoa; Arthropoda; Arachnida; Araneae; Nephilidae.
UCCCAUGUGGUCUAUUGUUUGGGAUUCCUUGCUUUCACCUAGGCGGCCCGGGUUCGAUUCCCGGCAUGGGAA